AAUACAUGUACUUUCAUGCGCACCUCUGGUGCGUAGAUCUCUUUCUUCCAGGAUUGACCAAACGAUUUCGGUUUGUCUGUUCGGGCUAAGGUUUUUUUGUAUGUUUAGAACAUGUUUAAGCUUGAUUCUGCACUUAGUUUGACCAGUUUAGUCGACAUAUAAUAUGUAAUUUUGAAGUUUAGAUGCGCAUCGACUAGAAUUUUGGCUGCAUUUCAACCCGGAUUUUGUCGCAUUUGGUAACCUAAAGACACAGACUUGAAAACCAAAGGCAGUUUUUGACAUUUAUCUUCAACCUCCACCUGAGAGCCUGGAUUGGUCUGACUGACUCUGUUACUGAGGGGCCCUGGAAGUGGGUGGACGGCACAUCACUGAUCACAGGGUGACAGAUUUGACCAUUUUACCAGGUACUGGAGGACAGGACAGCCCGAUGAUAGUGGGCAAGAGGACUAUUCAGGUCCUGAAUGGUUAGGUGAUGAUUCCACCUAGUGGUUAAAGUGAGAGAUGAACUCACCAUAGAAGUGAAAUAGUGGUAUGACAGACUGUCUCAAAACACAUUGAAGAACAGAAUCCUAGGGGACUGACCUUGGUCCCUCUCCUCUAAUAGGGUUGAAAGGAGGAGACGAGAUAACGUCUUAGUGUCAGAGAGCCAUAAAGGAGGAAGAAGAAAAUAAAGAGAAAGAUAGAAAAAUAAGACAAUUAAUUGUUGUGUUUAGAUUUAGAGGAGAGUAUGUAGACAUAGGCAUGCUUUUCAACCGGUCGCUGCCUGCACCUGCAUGCCCGACUAGCAUCACCACCCUGGAUGGUUCCGACCUAGAAUAUGUGGACGUC
Long non-coding RNA from Oncorhynchus kisutch (coho salmon), 828 nucleotides. RefSeq lists it as uncharacterized. The transcript has 4 exons. The record is from RefSeq and is a predicted model, not a curated record. Lineage: Eukaryota; Metazoa; Chordata; Actinopteri; Salmoniformes; Salmonidae.